CCUACGGGAGGCAGCAGUGAGGAAUAUUGGUCAAUGGACGAGAGUCUGAACCAGCCAAGUAGCGUGAAGGAUGACUGCCCUAUGGGUUGUAAACUUCUUUUAUAAAGGAAUAAAACGAGGCACGUGUGCCUUUUUGCAUGUACUUUAUGAAUAAGGAUCGGCUAACUCCGUGCCAGCAGCCGCGGUAAUACGGAGGAUCCGAGCGUUAUCCGGAUUUAUUGGGUUUAAAGGGCGCGUAGAUGGGUUGUUAAGUCAGUUGUUAAAGUUUGCGGCUCAACCGUAAAAUUGCAAUUGAUACUGGCAGUCUUGAGUACAGUUGAGGUAUGCGGAAUUCGUGGUGUAGCGGUGAAAUGCUUAGAUAUCGCUAAGAACCCCGAUUGCGAAGGCAGCUUACUAAACUGUGACUGACAUUGAUGCUCGAAAGUGUGGGUAUCAAACAGGAUUAGAUACCCUAGUAGUC
Molecule: ribosomal RNA, 460 nt
Filed under: uncultured bacterium
Lineage: Bacteria
Description: partial 16S ribosomal RNA
Rfam family: Bacterial small subunit ribosomal RNA
Source: RNAcentral